This is a non-coding RNA of Megalobrama amblycephala (Wuchang bream), 830 nucleotides long. NCBI's taxonomy places the organism in Eukaryota, Metazoa, Chordata, Actinopteri, Cypriniformes, Xenocyprididae. The record is from the annotation of a RefSeq genome assembly.
AAAGUGUUACCGUAUGCGAUUUCAGAUACAGCAGCAGCGUUUCACUAAACAUCAGAGAGAAUCCUCAUUGGCUGCUGUCUCUCUUAAUACACUAGUAGCAUAAUGUUGUUUGGUGAUGUGAAGAGCAAAAAUUAGACUAUGUGUAUAUUUAAUAAUCAGCAGGUGUCAUUAAUAAGCAUCUGCUUUCUUUUAUUGCAUGCAUGUUCCUUUGUGCUUCUGUUCCCUUAAUGUGUGCCAAUAGUUUUCAUCAACUCACUCUUUUUGGUAUGAAACAUUUGUGACAGAUUUUCAUUCUGCAACCUGAUUGCUGCAUGCUAAGUUUUGCUCUGAACUCUAUGCAAAUAUUCCUCUUCCUCUUUAUUUUAGUAUUUAGAUGAAAAGAAGCAGAUUGCUCUCUCAUUUCUCACACCAUGGUCUCCUCAUCUCUCUUGCUGUUUCUGCUGCUAGCAGCUGUCUCUCGUGUCCACUGUGUUGAACUGACCCAGACUGAUUCUGUGGUCUUAAGGCCUGGUCAGGUUUUGACUCUGUCCUGUAAGAUCUCUGGAUAUUCAUUGACUGACAGCAGCUACUGCACUGGCUUCAUACGACAGGCUGCAGGAAAAGCUCUGGAAUGGGUCGGAGAGAUAUGUGGUGAUGGUAGCACAUAUUACAGUGAUAAAUUAAAAAGUAGAUAUCAAGUUAGCAGAGACACUUCCAGCAGCACAGUGACUCUACAAGGACAGAAUAUGCAGACUGAGGACACAGCUGUGUAUUACUGCGCCAGAGAGUCACAGUGACACAGAGCACAAGCAGCUUUGUUCAAAAACAUCUUGAAUGAAAAGAAUAAGAGA